ACCGAAAGAAAGAGAAAGAAAGGAAGAAAAAUCCUCUCUGCGGUAGAAAGAGAAAAGAAAACUUGGGCUGACAAGAGGGGGGUGUUGGGGGGGGGGUGGAAGGAAGUGAGAAAACAAAAGAGAGAUAAAAGGGCUGCUUUUCUGUCUUUCUCUUCCUCCGCGAGCUGGGUUAGGAGGAGCUGUUUUGCAUCCCUUCACGUCAGCCCUGCCUCAUUCCCUUCUUCCAGGGAGGGAGAGCGAGCGAGCGAGCGAGAGAGAGAGAGAGAGAGGAGAGGGAGAGAGGGGGAGAGAGAGAGAAAGAGAGGAGCCGGAGGGAGGGCGGCAGGAGCAGGCGGCGGGCGCGCGUGGAGGCGGGCGGCGGGCGCGCAGCAGCAGCCCGGGCGGUGGGCAGCCAGGAGCCCCCCCCGGCCCCGGCCCGCCACGGGCCCCAGCGCAGGAGCCGCGCCCGGACCCAGGGUGAGUGUCCCGCGCGGCCCCCGGCCCCCGGCCCCGCAGCCCCGGGCGGCGCGCCGGCGGGGGCGCGGGGGGCGCGGGGGUGGGUCGCUGCGGCCGCAGCCGACCCGCCCCCCGCCUCUCCCCGGGGACGGCGGCGCGCAGGCCCUCGCCGCGCUGCAAACAUGUCGUCUUUUCCUUUCACUUCCACAUUCCCUCAUGCCGGAGAGCUGGAGGGAGAGAGGGAGAGCCGGGGAAAGAGGGAGAGAUGGCGUCUGGAGGGAGGGAGGGGGGUGUAGAGGGGGAAGGGAAGGAGGGAGCGUGCAAGCGAAAGCGGGCGAGAGCGAGGAGAGCGCGCGAAUGAGAGAGAGGAAGAGAGAGAAAGGGAGGGGAGAGAGAGAGAGAAGCAAAAAUGAAAGGAAAGCGCGGCGGCGGCGGGGCGGGAGGCCCGGAGGCGGCGGCGGCGGCUCGCGGGCCCGCACGUGGGUGUCCCGGCGCCCGGUGCGCUCCCCCCGCCGCCCGCCCGGGACUCAAAGUUUCACCCCCUCGCCGCGCCGCCCCGCCCCGCCGCUGCCCACAAACUUUAUUCUCCGGGCGGGUGGGGUGGCUGCGCGUCCCCGCCGUCCGGGGUGGGGGAGGGCCGGGCGCGCCGCCUGGCUGUCGGGGGGCGCCCCCCCGGGGCCGCCGCGCGCCCCCCCAGCCCGGGGCCAGGGACCUGUUGAAGGCGCUCGCCGUCCGGCCGGGUCCCCACGGCCCUCCUUGGUCGGUCUCGGUUCCCCUUCCUCGUCGCCCACCCUUCUCCGUUUCCUCGCGGUCAUUUUCCUAAUUGGACAGAGCUGUGGGGUGUGA
Molecule: long non-coding RNA, 1281 nt
Filed under: Bos indicus x Bos taurus (hybrid cattle)
Lineage: Eukaryota; Metazoa; Chordata; Mammalia; Artiodactyla; Bovidae
Description: lncRNA (ENSBIXG00005019749.1)
Source: RNAcentral